This 77-nucleotide transfer RNA is filed under the name Caudoviricetes sp. RNAcentral's name for it is "tRNA-Asp". It matches the Rfam family "tRNA". From Rfam's summary of the family: Transfer RNA (tRNA) molecules are approximately 80 nucleotides in length. Their secondary structure includes four short double-helical elements and three loops (D, anti-codon, and T loops). Further hydrogen bonds mediate the characteristic L-shaped molecular structure. tRNAs have two regions of fundamental functional importance: the anti-codon, which is responsible for specific mRNA codon recognition, and the 3' end, to which the tRNAs corresponding amino acid is attached (by aminoacyl-tRNA synthetases). tRNAs cope with the degeneracy of the genetic code in two manners: having more than one tRNA (with a specific anti-codon) for a particular amino acid; and 'wobble' base-pairing, i.e. permitting non-standard base-pairing at the 3rd anti-codon position. The record is from RNAcentral. Lineage: Duplodnaviria; Heunggongvirae; Uroviricota; Caudoviricetes.
GGCUAUGUAGUUUAACUGGAGAAAAUACUCCCCUGUCACGGGAGACGAUAUGGGUUCAAGUCCCAUUGUAGCCGCCA